This 1358-nucleotide ribosomal RNA is filed under the name uncultured bacterium. RNAcentral's name for it is "bacterial SSU rRNA". It matches the Rfam family "Bacterial small subunit ribosomal RNA", at positions 28 to 1381 of the family's 1533-position model. The record is from RNAcentral.
GAUGAACGCUAGCUACAGGCUUAACACAUGCAAGUCGAGGGGCAGCAUGGUCUUAGCUUGCUAAGGCCGAUGGCGACCGGCGCACGGGUGAGUAACACGUAUCCAACCUGCCGUCUACUCUUGGACAGCCUUCUGAAAGGAAGAUUAAUACAAGAUGGCAUCAUGAGUCCACAUGUUCACAUGAUUAAAGGUAUUCCGGUAGACGAUGGGGAUGCGUUCCAUUAGAUAGUAGGCGGGGUAACGGCCCACCUAGUCUUCGAUGGAUAGGGGUUCUGAGAGGAAGGUCCCCCACAUUGGAACUGAGACACGGUCCAAACUCCUACGGGAGGCAGCAGUGAGGAAUAUUGGUCAAUGGGCGAGAGCCUGAACCAGCCAAGUAGCGUGAAGGAUGACUGCCCUAUGGGUUGUAAACUUCUUUUAUAAAGGAAUAAAGUCGGGUAUGGAUACCCGUUUGCAUGUACUUUAUGAAUAAGGAUCGGCUAACUCCGUGCCAGCAGCCGCGGUAAUACGGAGGAUCCGAGCGUUAUCCGGAUUUAUUGGGUUUAAAGGGAGCGUAGAUGGAUGUUUAAGUCAGUUGUGAAAGUUUGCGGCUCAACCGUAAAAUUGCAGUUGAUACUGGAUAUCUUGAGUGCAGUUGAGGCAGGCGGAAUUCGUGGUGUAGCGGUGAAAUGCUUAGAUGUCACGAAGAACUCCGAUUGCGAAGGCAGCCUGCUAAGCUGCAACUGACAUUGAGGCUCGAAAGUGUGGGUAUCAAACAGGAUUAGAUACCCUGGUAGUCCACACGGUAAACGAUGAAUACUCGCUGUUUGCGAUAUACAGCAAGCGGCCAAGCGAAAGCGUUAAGUAUUCCACCUGGGGAGUACGCCGGCAGCGGUGAAACUCAAAGGAAUUGACGGGGGCCCGCACAAGCGGAGGAACAUGUGGUUUAAUUCGAUGAUACGCGAGGAACCUUACCCGGGCUUAAAUUGCAGAUGAAUUACGGUGAAAGCCGUAAGCCGCAAGGCAUCUGUGAAGGUGCUGCAUGGUUGUCGUCAGCUCGUGCCGUGAGGUGUCGGCUUAAGUGCCAUAACGAGCGCAACCCUUGUUGUCAGUUACUAACAGGUUCCGCUGAGGACUCUGACAAGACUGCCAUCGUAAGAUGUGAGGAAGGUGGGGAUGACGUCAAAUCAGCACGGCCCUUACGUCCGGGGCUACACACGUGUUACAAUGGGGGGUACAGAGGGCCGCUACCACGCGAGUGGAUGCCAAUCCCAAAAACCUCUCUCAGUUCGGACUGGAGUCUGCAACCCGACUCCACGAAGCUGGAUUCGCUAGUAAUCGCGCAUCAGCCACGGCGCGGUGAAUACGUUCCCGGGCCU